RNAcentral lists this non-coding RNA (274 nucleotides) under Clostridium saccharobutylicum. Its description in RNAcentral is "T-box sequence". It matches the Rfam family "T-box leader". From Rfam's summary of the family: Uncharged tRNA acts as the effector for transcription antitermination of genes in the T-box leader family. T-boxes are found upstream of many aminoacyl-tRNA synthetase genes and some amino acid biosynthetic genes usually in Gram-positive bacteria. The record is from RNAcentral. Lineage: Bacteria; Bacillati; Bacillota; Clostridia; Eubacteriales; Clostridiaceae.
ACAAAAACAAUGAUGGAGAGAAGUAAAAAGAAUAUUCACCCUUAGUGAGUUGGGGAUAGUGUGAACCCAGCGGCAGAGUUUUUUUGAAUAACACUCCGGAGUUGCAAACUGAAAUAUUUGUAAACUGUAAUUUAAACUAAUGUUUUAUUUAGGUUCAAAUAAACUAGGUGCGCCGUAUUUCAUGCGUUAUUUGAAUACCAGUAGUAGCUGGAAAAAAAGAGACCAACAUGGUAAUUUAGGUGGCACCGCGGAUAAGCGUCAAUUCGUCCUAUUA